UGUUAAAAAUUUCAUCCAUUUCUACUGUUAAAAAUUGGUGUGACUAACGAAAUAACUAAAUAGUGACACGUGGCAUGCCAUGUGUACCUCAUGUUGAUGUAUAUAGACAAGUUUUUAACAAUAAAAAUGGAUGCAAUUUUUAAUA
Non-coding RNA from Gossypium raimondii (Peruvian cotton), 145 nucleotides. The record is from Rfam. Lineage: Eukaryota; Viridiplantae; Streptophyta; Magnoliopsida; Malvales; Malvaceae.